UGGGGAACUUUGCGCAAUGGGCGAAAGCCUGACGCAGCAACGCCGCGUGGAGGAUGAAGGCCUUCGGGUCGUAAACUCCUGUCAGGGGGGACGAAAGCCGCGCAAGCGGUUUGACUGUACCCUCUGAGGAAGCCACGGCUAACUCCGUGCCAGCAGCCGCGGUAAUACGGAGGUGGCAAGCGUUGUUCGGAAUUACUGGGCGUAAAGGGCGCGUAGGCGGCUUGGCAAGUCAGAUGUGAAAGCCCCGGGCUUAACUUGGGAAUUGCAUCUGAAACUGCUUUGCUUGAGUCCUGGAGGGGGUAGUGGAAUUCCCAGUGUAGCGGUGAAAUGCGUAGAUAUUGGGAGGAACACCUGCGGCGAAGGCGGCUACCUGGACAGUGACUGACGCUGAGGCGCGAAAGCUAGGGGAGCAAACGGGAUUAGAUACCCCGGUAGUCCUAGCCGUAAACGAUGGGCACUUGGUGUUGGGGGUAUUGAGUCCCCCGGUGCCGGAGUUAACAUAUUAAGUGCCCCGCCUGGGGAGUACGGUCGCAAGACUG
RNAcentral lists this ribosomal RNA (539 nucleotides) under uncultured bacterium. RNAcentral describes it as "bacterial SSU rRNA". It matches the Rfam family "Bacterial small subunit ribosomal RNA", at positions 355 to 896 of the family's 1533-position model. The record is from RNAcentral.